RNAcentral lists this transfer RNA (85 nucleotides) under Patescibacteria group bacterium. RNAcentral describes it as "tRNA-Leu". It matches the Rfam family "tRNA". Rfam says of the family: Transfer RNA (tRNA) molecules are approximately 80 nucleotides in length. Their secondary structure includes four short double-helical elements and three loops (D, anti-codon, and T loops). The record is from RNAcentral.
GGGCCCGUGGCGGAAUUGGUAUACGCAACGGACUUAAAAUCCGUAACCGCAAGGUAUGCAGGUUCGAUCCCUGCCGGGCCCACCA